RNAcentral lists this ribosomal RNA (429 nucleotides) under Chloroflexota bacterium. Its description in RNAcentral is "Chloroflexi bacterium partial 16S ribosomal RNA". It matches the Rfam family "Bacterial small subunit ribosomal RNA", at positions 355 to 776 of the family's 1533-position model. The record is from RNAcentral. Lineage: Bacteria; Bacillati; Chloroflexota.
UGGGGAAUAUUGCACAAUGGGCGCAAGCCUGAUGCAGCCAUGCCGCGUGUAUGAAGAAGGCCUUCGGGUUGUAAAGUACUUUCAGUCGGGAGGAAGGUGUCAAGGUUAAUAACCUUGGCAAUUGACGUUACCGACAGAAGAAGCACCGGCUAACUCCGUGCCAGCAGCCGCGGUAAUUCGGAGGGUGCAAGCGUUAAUCGGAAUUACUGGGCGUAAAGCGCACGCAGGCGGUUGAUUGAGUCAGAUGUGAAAUCCCCGGGCUUAACCCGGGAAUUGCAUCUGAUACUGGUCAGCUAGAGUCUUGUAGAGGGGGGUAGAAUUCCAUGUGUAGCGGUGAAAUGCGGAGAGAUGUGGAGGAAUACCGGUGGCGGAGGCGGCCCCCUGGACAAAGACUGACGCUCAGGUGCGAAAGCGUGGGGAGCAAACAGG